AUGGUGGUAUGGAAGAACUGGGCACUGCCCAAGUGCAAGUUCUUUGCAUGGCUAGUUAUCAAUGAUAGAAUUUGGACGGCCGACAGACUGCAAAGAAGAGGGUGGCCCAACUGCAAUUUGUGUCAACUUUGCAAGAGGGAGCCAGAGACCGCAGCUCAUCAUCUCCUCCAAUGCAGGUUCUGUGCCCGCAUUUGGAAUGCAAUCAGAGUUUGGGUGGAUGCCCCUGAACUAGAUGUAGUGGCCUGGAACGGGAUCCCCACGGUCAAAGAAUGGUGGUCGGCAGUGGUCCUUAGGCGUGGACAUAGGAGGAAGGCGAUGUCAUCACUCAUCAUGCUUGUUACUUGGGAAGUGUGGAAAGAGAGAAACGUGAGGGUGUUCCAACAUGUAUGUAGGUUGCCAAGCGUGUUGGUCGAGGCUAUUAAAGCGGAGGUGAGGCUCUGGAUUAUCGCAGGGGCGAAGCAUUUGGGUUCUUUGAUGCCGCGAGAGUUGGAUUGUAUUUUCUUUCCAUUUGUGUGA
Molecule: ribosomal RNA, 516 nt
Filed under: Triticum aestivum (bread wheat)
Lineage: Eukaryota; Viridiplantae; Streptophyta; Magnoliopsida; Poales; Poaceae
Description: partial small subunit ribosomal RNA
Source: RNAcentral